RNAcentral lists this ribosomal RNA (482 nucleotides) under uncultured bacterium. Its description in RNAcentral is "partial 16S ribosomal RNA". It matches the Rfam family "Bacterial small subunit ribosomal RNA", at positions 28 to 507 of the family's 1533-position model. The record is from RNAcentral.
GAUGAACGCUCGCGGCAGGCCUAAUACAUGCAAGUCGAACGAGAUUAAGAGGCUUGCUUCUUAUGAAAGUGGCGCACGGGUGCGUAACGCGUAUGCAACCUACCUUAAUCAGGGGGAUAGCCCGAAGAAAUUCGGAUUAAGACCGCAUAAAAACACAGGAUAGCAUUAUCCAAUGUUCAAAUAUUUAUAGGAUUAAGAUGGGCAUGCGUGUCAUUAGCUAGUUGGCGGGGUAACGGCCCACCAAGGCGACGAUGACUAGGGGAUCUGAGAGGAUGACCCCCCACACUGGUACUGAGACACGGACCAGACUCCUACGGGAGGCAGCAGUAAGGAAUAUUGGUCAAUGGAGGGAACUCUGAACCAGCCAUGCCGCGUGCAGGAAGACAGCCCUCUGGGUCGUAAACUGCUUUUAGUCGGGAAUAAACCUUUCUACGUGUAGGAAGCUGAAUGUACCGAAGGAAUAAGGAUCGGCUAACUCCGUG